Long non-coding RNA from Camelus dromedarius (Arabian camel), 456 nucleotides. RefSeq lists it as uncharacterized. Lineage: Eukaryota; Metazoa; Chordata; Mammalia; Artiodactyla; Camelidae. The transcript has 3 exons. The record is from RefSeq and is a predicted model, not a curated record.
CCUGCGCAUCAGGGAACUGAGAGCGCUUUCCUUGAGGGAAGACUCAGAGAACACUUCGGAGCUGCCACGUGGAAAGGGGAUUGAAAGCAUGACGGUUCAAGGUCUUCCUGCAGAAGGACAGCCCAGAAAGCACAUUUUGUUAUGGGAAAAUGAAACCAGAGAACUUGUUCCACUGAGAGCUGAGGGCAGGUGAACAAAACAACGUACAAGCUGGACCCUGGGCAGCGGGACAGCCCCUCUGCGAAUGCCCUGGUCAGGUGUGCACAUACCUGCACCUGCCACUUCUCUGAGUGACCAGCGCCCCAGGCAACCACUCCGAAGUACGGGAGGCCCGGCGUGCCUUCUUCAUCGUUCAGCGUUCCCAGACCUUCUGAUGCUUGCGUCCUUACCUGCGCUUCUGUUGGCCCUGGUUUUACCCGAGGCAGAGAAAUCAGACACCUUCAUUUCUGUGAUUGA